This 347-nucleotide ribosomal RNA is filed under the name uncultured bacterium. RNAcentral describes it as "bacterial SSU rRNA". It matches the Rfam family "Bacterial small subunit ribosomal RNA", at positions 28 to 371 of the family's 1533-position model. The record is from RNAcentral.
GAUGAACGCUAGCGGCAGGCUUAAUACAUGCAAGUCGAGGGGCAGCGGGGGUAGCAAUACCUGCCGGCGACCGGCAAACGGGUGCGGAACACGUACAGAACCUUCCUUUAAGUGGGGGAUAGCCCGAAGAAAUUCGGAUUAAUACCCCGUAAUAUUAUGGAGUGGCAUCACUUUAUAAUUAAAGAUUUAUCGCUUAGAGAUGGCUGUGCGGCUGAUUAGGUAGUUGGUGUAGGUAACGGCNCACCAAGCCUUCGAUCAGUAACUGGUGUGAGAGCACGACCAGUCACACGGGCACUGAGACACGGGCCCGACUCCUACGGGAGGCAGCAGUAAGGAAUAUUGGGCAA